RNAcentral lists this ribosomal RNA (253 nucleotides) under uncultured bacterium. Its description in RNAcentral is "partial 16S ribosomal RNA". It matches the Rfam family "Bacterial small subunit ribosomal RNA", at positions 524 to 776 of the family's 1533-position model. The record is from RNAcentral.
UACGUAGGGGGCUAGCGUUGUCCGGAAUCAUUGGGCGUAAAGCGCGUGUAGGCGGCCCGGUAAGUCCGCUGUGAAAGUCGAGGGCUCAACCCUCGAAAGCCGGUGGAUACUGUCGGGCUCGAGUGCGGGAGAGGCGAGUGGAAUUCCUGGUGUAGCGGUGAAAUGCGCAGAUAUCAGGAGGAACACCGAUUGCGAAGGCAGCUCGCUGGAACGUAACUGACGCUGAGACGCGAAAGCGUGGGUAGCGAAUGGG